Non-coding RNA from Triticum urartu, 5125 nucleotides. The record is from RefSeq and is a predicted model, not a curated record. Lineage: Eukaryota; Viridiplantae; Streptophyta; Magnoliopsida; Poales; Poaceae.
CGGAAACCGAAUCAAAAACCAGCAGCGGCCGCAGCAGCGGGGAGGAGCGAGCCUCGUAUCGGGCCGCCCCGUACGCGCAUUCCACGUGGUCGCUACUCCCUCCGCCCCUCACUCCUCUCCGACGAAAACACCUGCGGGCUGCGGCCCUGCCCGCCCCGGCCAGAUUGCGCCCGACGGGGAUAGGCGUAGGUAUUAAAUCCGGGAGAUCGGAUUGGAAACAAAAUCGAAUCCCCAAAUCUGGGUUGCUCGCCCUGAUCGUCCCUGGGCUCGCGCGGCGUCGGCGUCGGCGGCGGCCAUGGGGGCGAUGGGUUGCCGUCGGGCCGCGGGGACCGUCGGCUGGCAGUACGUCUUCGAGGAUGAGGAGAACGAGCGCGAGGACGAGGACGCGCCGCUCGUGGAGGAGGAGGGGGCGGACGAGGACUGGGGGGUCGAGAUGGAGAGGAGGGGGACGAAGAGGAAGGGACCGCGCUCGUCGCGGCCGCGCAAGCAGCGGCGCGUCGCCACGCUCUUCGCCUCGCCGGCGUCGUCCGACUCCGGGCCCCCGUCGUCUAGCGCCGUGCCCAAGCGGCGGCGCGUCGCCAAGCUCUGCGCCUCGCCGGAGUCGUCCGACUCCGGGUCCCCGUCGUGGAGCGCCGUGCCCAAGAGGCGGCGCAGCGGAAACGGGGCCAAGAGGGGCCGCCCCGUCGCCGUCCCCGAGGAAACGGAGACGCCGAGCACCAGCGCCGCGGGCCGCGCCAAGGGGAGGAGGUCGUGCCACCAGUGCAAGGCGGCAAUGAAGCAGCAGAUGACCAAGUGUAAGCAAUGCCGCGAGAAGAUUUACUGCGGCCCCUGCAUCGAUGAUAUGUACCCGGAGUUGUCGUUGGCCGAGGUUAGAGUCAGCUGCCCGUCUUGCCGUGGAAUCUGCAAUUGUAAACGGUGCACUGCCAAGGAGCAGGGUGAACCCAAGAGUUCAGUUUUGAGGAAACGCAACGGCAGUAGAUCAGUAACGAAGAGAAAGAAGACUAACACCUCAGGUGUAAAGUCAACCAGGGUUUGUAAUGAGGUGCCACAGACCGAAGCAAAUGAUAACAACUUCCUAAGUUCCAAUGAGAUUAAUAGCACAUCGGUCAUAUUAGACAAGGUAGAUACGUUGGAUGCAAGAGCUGAUGAGAUUGCUCGUGAAACUAAAGUAAAACAUGCUAGAUAUCUGUUGCACUAUCUGGUGCCUUGUUUGAGUGACCUGAACAGGGAUCAGAUGGUUGAGACAAAAAUCGAGGCCAAAAUUCAAGGGUUGGAAUUGUCUGAACUGAGUGUUGAACAGGCUGACUGCCGGAAUGAUGAGAGGAUGUUCUGUGACAAUUGCAGAACUUCGAUCUUUGAUCUGCAUAGAAGCUGUCCAAACUGCUCAUAUGAAUUAUGCAUUGCGUGCUGUAAGGAGCUUCGUGAAAAUAAUCUAAAGGGCUCUUGUCGGGAAGAGCUGGUAUCUUAUCCUAAUAGAGGAAUCGACUAUAUGCAUGGUGGUGAUCCAUCACCUGAGUUGAUGAACUACAUACAAACAGGUUUGUCCAGUUGCCAGCCUAAGACUACCAAGUGGUGUGCUAAUACUGAUGGGACUAUUAAUUGCCCCCCACCUGAACUUGGUGGUUGUGGUGAUCAUGCCCUUAAGUUGAGACAGAUGUUUCCAAAAGAUUGGUUAAAUAAGCUUGAAAGCGAUGCUCUACAGUUGAGUAAGCAGCUAGAACCUUCUGAUAUUGUCAGCGGAUAUACACAUGAAUGCCCGUGCUGUACUAAACAUGAAAAUGCAAGACAUGCUGCCACCAGAAAUAAUUCAACGGAUAACUGCCUAUACUGUCCAAAAUCAGAUAAUGAGAAAGCAGAAGAUCUAACUCACUUCCAGAGUCACUGGGUUAAAGGAGAACCUGUUAUUGUGCAAGGGGUACUACAGAAAAUGCCACAUUUGAGCUGGGAGCCACCACAUAUGUGGUCUGAAGUACAUGGUGCUAGUACUACCCCUGAUAUGAAAAAUGUGAAGUGUAUUGAUUGUUUAUCUUGUUGUGAGGUCGAGAUACGCACACAGGAUUUCUUCAAUGGAUACUAUUAUGGUCGGGUGUAUCAAAAUGAAUGGCCCGAAAUGCUUAAAUUGAAGGACUGGCCUACUUCAAAUCAUUUUGAAGAGCUUUUGCCUUCGCAUGGAGUGGAAUACAUCAAUUCUUUACCCUUUCAACCGUACACAAAUUUGAAAUCUGGCUUGCUAAGUGUCUCCGCAUUGCUUCCUGAUGACAUUCUAAAGAUUGACAUGGGCCCAAAGUCAUACAUAGCUUAUGGCUAUGCGCAGGAACUUGGCAGAGGAGAUUCUGUUACGAAACUUCAUUGUGAUAUAUCUGAUGCAGUUAAUGUUUUGAUGCAUACUGCAAAAGUUGCCCCUUCUGAAAGACAAGAAAAUGCAAUAAAAAACUUGAAAGCAAGACAUGAGGUACAAGAUGAAAAGGACUGUUGUGGGAAUUUUGCAAUUGAUGGAAGUGAUCCAUGUCAUAAAAACUGUCUGGAUUCAAACCAUACAUCCUCUCCUAACUACAGCAAGGACGAUGAUGGAGGUGCUUUAUGGGAUAUUUUCAGGAGGGAGGAUGUUCCAAAACUGGAAACAUACCUUCGUAAACAUUCCAAGGAAUUUCGCCAUAUAUAUUGUUCUCCAGUUGAAAAGACAUUUAACCCUCUACAUGAUGAAACAUUCUAUCUAACUGAGGAACAUAAAAGGAGACUUAAAGAGGAGCAUGGAAUCGAGCCUUGGACAUUUGUACAAAAACUUGGAGAGGCGGUUUUUAUACCUGCUGGGUGCCCUCAUCAAGUACGGAAUCUCAAGUCUUGCACGAAAAUUGCUAUAGAUUUUGUAUCACCUGAGAAUGUCCAGGAGUGUGUUAAGUUAACUCAGCAAUUCCGCGUGCUUCCUAAGAACCACAGAGCAAAAGAAGAUAAAUUAGAGGUACUAAUUCAGCAACUCUCAAAGCUAUAGCUUCUCCCCGUUGGCCUUGCUUACACUACAGUAAGGUCACUUGGCUUGGAAAGCUAAGGCUAUUUCAGUGAUCCGUAGGUGAGGGGCUCUUGAUGAGGUCCACUUUCUCCCAAGGACCAGAUAACAACAAAGGAUUUCCUUGGAAUUGCAUUUCCUUUCGCAGCUCUCAUUUGCACCUCUCCGGAUAGGUGUCUUUUCUCAACACGUUCCUCUCUUAAACGCUGACAAGGUCUCUCUUACAGCCUCUGUCUUUGUUUUGUGAAACAUCAAAUACUGCAUCUACACAGCCAUAAUUGUUUGUCUUAACUAUUGGGCUCUCUAAUCCAUUCGCUCCCGCUUUCGUCUCAGUGUUGGUCCAGCAGAGUGUUUUCGCCAUUGGUGUUCUUUUCUAUCUCGAUGCAUUUCACCGCUCUAUCAAAAAUUCUCCCAGCUUCAGCCCUGGGAUUUCGCUGCGGACCUGAAAAGCCACAUACAAGUCUUGGUUUGCAUUUUCGUGAUUGUUCAGACAAUGGAUCAAAGUCCGUGUAGCUUCAAAUCACCUUCCUAACUAAUGGUUCACAUUAAGCCUUCCACUUGCAACUACUUCCCUCCCCCACAUUGAUCUUACGUAGUGAAGAUCUGGAGCUCGCCAGGGUCGUUAUUGGUGUCUAUGUUGGGUUUUCUGUGUUGGUUUUUCAAUUUUUAUGUGGCCCCUGCUUUCUUCUAAUUUUUCUAUGUUUUUUUCCUCUUCCGUUUUUUCUAUUUUUGUUUACUGCACGGUUUGUGCGCAUGUGCGGUUCAGUGUGUAAUCACUAAUUACAGGGAGUACAGGUGCACUGGUGCACUACACGGUGAGUACAUUUGCGUUGUGUGUGGGUGCUACUCCCUCCUGUUCUUAAAUAUAAGUCUUUUUAGAGAUUCCAAUAAAAACUACAUACGAAGCAAAAUAAGUAAAUCUAUACUUUAAAAUAUGUCUAUAUACAUUUGUAUAUAGUCUGUAUUAAAAUAUAUAUUUAGAAAUGGAGGAAGUAGAUGCGAAGUAUAAGGCCCUGCUUGGAAUCCCCGUAAAGUUAUACAAAGUAAUUACCCCUGUCUAUUACUCCUUCCGUUCCUUAAGUCUUUUAGAGAUUUCAACAUAAACUACAUACGGAGCAAAAUGAGUGAGUCUACACUCUAAAAUAUGUCUAUGUAUUUGUAUGUAGUCUAUUAAAAUCUCUAGAAAGAUUUAUAUUUAGAAACGGAGGAAGCACUGAAGAUAAGUAAAAUACAACCGGAUAUAAAAAUGGAGCCCAGGGCGCGCUUGGUUCUUAUUUCUCUAGUUUGGUCAGUGUCUCCCAUGCGCGUCGUUCACGGCUGGAACUCCAUGCACUCCAAGGCCGGCGGCUGGAACUUCCAUGUGGAGACUGGUUGAGGAAACACGGUAAAACACAAUGUUUGCAUGUUGUUUGAUCGAUGCAUGUUGUUUUUUUGCCUGCAUAUGGGGUCUUGUUAUCAUGAAAGCAAUUUUCACCCGAAUAUUUGGUUGCACACAUGAACAUAGAGAUUACAGUAGAACGCACACGCACAUUCGGCGAUCACAGGCAGGACGACUAUGACAAGGCAGGUAGACUACGACAGAGGGAACCACAGGCACGACUACUGGUCGACACCGGUGUACCAGCAGAGGUUAGGCACAAGGCCCACCACGGCGUCGCAACUAAAGCCAAACAAACCGACGCCGACAGCCACACCUAACUGCAGAACAAGACUGGCGGCGAGAUGUCAUCGAAGCUUCCCGCGUGCCACAAGAAGGUCGGCGACGACGCUGGCUACGGCGCACGCAACUGCUGAUCAUAGGGAGCACGCCACCAUGGAUUGCCUCCACGACCACUCUGACAAGGUGAAGAAGAUGAUAAUAUAUGCCGUUGAUCAUGCCGUGGAGAUUCUGAAGGAGCAUUGGCAUUCUUCCCCGUUGGCUUGCUGACAUUGUCAGGGAUUUCUGCGAUAGGACAAAUUGAUGACAACGGUGUUGAGUAAAAUGAAUAGUGUUGCCAAAAGCUCUCUGUAGAAAAUAGUUGAGCUCAGUGAAGAAAUAAAGUAUUAUUUUGUUGUUGUGAAUUAUAUUAUACAUGCACAGUGCAGUAAUAGUUCAAUCACCAGGGAUAGGAGCUAUGUAUC